GUAUUUUAGCCUUAUCCCAAAUAAUUACUUCCCUUUCCGAAAUCGAAAGUGGAAGUGAAAUGUCAUCGUCAUGAGUCAAGCUAGAUUUGUAUCGUUUUGCUCAAGUAUUCCAUCGGAAAUAACAGACAAACAAGACGAUGAGUUUAUUGAAGAGCUACAUAUUGUCGACGAAUUGUAUUUUGCCCAAAUAGAAAGUUCCCAAAGUGAAAAUCUGAGCGAUGAUGACGGAGUCGGUGUAUGUUAUGUUAAGUGUUAACUAGUUACAUGUAUCUUCAAGACCUAUCUCUGCCUCGGGUCUUUUCUUCUUCUUCAUGAUUCAAAUAACGUGUUUGCGAGUUAAGCAAUUAACCAGUAAGAUAUUGUCACAUACUAGUAUGGAAGUAAAGAAAAAAAGAACAAACAAAAGAAAAAAAAAAAAAAAGGAGUUCCAUAAGGUAAUAGCUAAUAGAGAAUAAUAUAUCAUAAAACGCUUUCAAACAAGAGGAAAACUCAAUUAAACUGUCUUGCAUAUUGAACGACAGAUCGUAUACCUCUCUUUUCUCAAAGGAUAAUAAAUGCAACCAACCAAAAUCAAAACACUUACAAAUGUAACAUACAUGUAAUAAGAACAUAAUGUCUCUAUAACUACUUAAAAUCAGGAAACAUACAACAUUAAGAUAAAAAGGGGGUAUAAAUUAAAUUCCGUAGAUCUUUUUAAUAAUUUGUGUCAAAAUGUAUUGUAUAAAGGCAACAGUAGUAUACCACUGUUCAAUGGUCAUAAAUCGAUUUAACUGAAACAAAUCCGGAUAACAAACCAAAUACUGAUGGGAAUACAUCAAUUAUAAGAGAAACAACGGAACAACAGAAACACUGAACUUCUACAAAAACAAAUGCCAACAUACAUACAAACGAGUUAUUAAAUAGUAUGGAUCACCGUUUUUUUUUAUCAAGAUAUAGGUUGUGCAAAAUUACUUUGAUUUUGUAUAGAAUAUACCUGGAAAACCUACUUUUAUUGAUAAAAAGAAAACUACACCAUAUAAGUUUGAUAAACUAUGAAAAUAUAUCUCUAUUAACAUGCUUUCAGUUAAGAAAAUGAACAAAAUGGGGUCACCGGACUCGUUUUCUCGCUAUAUAAUAAAAUAGUUAAAUUCACACAACACAUUAUAUAAUGAAAGUUACUUUAUCUGAGUUUUCUCCUAAUACUGACAAAGUCGAAAAAAGGAAUAUUUUUAUGUUCUUAAUAAGAAUAAAAAGUAUUUAAUAUCAAUUACUUUAUAAGAUUUGGACCGAUUGGUAUCUUUUAUUUCAAAAUUUAAGAUGGACGAAGACAUCUAAGCUACCUGAAGACGAUUUGCAGUUUUGUAUUUUGCUAAACUUAUAAAAGUUAAUGAUUUGACAUUUUUAAGGUUGAUGGUGAUUAAUGUUUUUGUCCAUUUAGAGAAACUAUAAAUAUAUUGUAUUGUUAAUGCUGUAAAGUGAUAUUAUGUUUUUGUAUAUAAUCACGCCAUCAGUAUAAUAUAUUCGUCCUUGGUAAAUAGUUUGCAGAUGUGUUGUAUGAAAUGACGCAUUUGAUAAAUAUUUCGAUCAGAAUUUAGAACAUUAGCAUAGCUGACAUAUUUUCACAUUUAACUUAAAAUAGAAAUCCCGUGUUCUGUUAAAUUACAUCUUUGUUAAAUGAAACAGUUAGCCUAAAUAACCUUCUCAUAUUCAGACUGGUAAUGGGUAAAAAUAAAUCACACUUAUUUGCAAUUCAUGCUCUGUAAAUGCAUUGUCCCC
This 1755-nucleotide long non-coding RNA is filed under the name Mytilus galloprovincialis (Mediterranean mussel). The record is from RNAcentral. Lineage: Eukaryota; Metazoa; Mollusca; Bivalvia; Mytilida; Mytilidae.